Molecule: long non-coding RNA, 791 nt
Filed under: Chinchilla lanigera (long-tailed chinchilla)
Lineage: Eukaryota; Metazoa; Chordata; Mammalia; Rodentia; Chinchillidae
Description: lncRNA (ENSCLAG00000028253.1)
Source: RNAcentral
CUAAGUUCUGGGAAGAGGCGUCCAAACUGAGAAAGCAUGGGUGGGGGGCGGUUUGCAGCCUGCAUGCUGCCCGUUGUGCACCUGCAGAGGGAGGAAGCCAGGGAGCGCAGCCAAGGGCCAGGCGGUGUUGCAUCAGAGGGCUAAGCUGUGGGAUCAAAUGUUGGGGGUGGCAGGGGGGCUCCUGCUGCCAUUGGCCUUUCCAGCCGGGGAAGGGAGGGGGUCACCGGAAAUGGCCCCAGGUCAGAUAAGCUGAGAGAAGGAAGCAGAAUAGCUGGAAAGACCAGGGAUCACCUCCCACACUUACUCCAGCAGCUGACGGGCGACAGAGCCGCUGCAAGUGGCAUCCCCAGGCCUAGAGGGCGUCCCAAGGAUCCCCAGACCCAGCAGCGCACCCACCAUGCUGCCCUGCCUGGCCCUGCUUCUCUUGGCGGGGCUGUCCAAGGGCGCCACGGCAGGCCACAGCGGAGAGGAACUGGUACCCAGCCCUAAAGCUCGGCCCUGGGUGACCGUGACCCUGGAGGUCGCCGUCCCCAGCAUUCAGCUCCAGCUGCAGGAGGCCAAGCGGUUCUUCGGGCUGAUGGGGAAGCGGGUGGGAGGUGUCCCUCGGAUCUGGCCAGGGCUGGCAGGGCAUCAGCUGGGAGAAGCGGAACAAGGCCUCCUGGGCAGGGGAGGACUCUCGACGGAAGGUAGGCCAGAGCUGCUCGUGGGCAGUUUGGGCAACACGGGAAAGCGAACAGACAGAAAAGAUGCCCAGAAGCCCUUGCAUGGAGGCCUCAUGCGGAGGGCAGCCU